This 493-nucleotide ribosomal RNA is filed under the name uncultured bacterium. RNAcentral's name for it is "bacterial SSU rRNA". It matches the Rfam family "Bacterial small subunit ribosomal RNA", at positions 588 to 1084 of the family's 1533-position model. The record is from RNAcentral.
UCAGUUGUGAAAGUUUGCGGCUCAACCGUAAAAUUGCAGUUGAUACUGGCUGUCUUGAGUACAGUAGAGGUGGGCGGAAUUCGUGGUGUAGCGGUGAAAUGCUUAGAUAUCACGAAGAACUCCGAUUGCGAAGGCAGCUCACUGGACUGCAACUGACACUGAUGCUCGAAAGUGUGGGUAUCAAACAGGAUUAGAUACCCUGGUAGUCCACACAGUAAACGAUGAAUACUCGCUGUUUGCGAUAUACAGUAAGCGGCCAAGCGAAAGCAUUAAGUAUUCCACCUGGGGAGUACGCCGGCAACGGUGAAACUCAAAGGAAUUGACGGGGGCCCGCACAAGCGGAGGAACAUGUGGUUUAAUUCGAUGAUACGCGAGGAACCUUACCCGGGCUUAAAUUGCACUCGAAUGAUCCGGAAACGGUUCAGCUAGCAAUAGCGAGUGUGAAGGUGCUGCAUGGUUGUCGUCAGCUCGUGCCGUGAGGUGUCGGCUUAAG